This 253-nucleotide ribosomal RNA is filed under the name uncultured bacterium. RNAcentral's name for it is "partial 16S ribosomal RNA". It matches the Rfam family "Bacterial small subunit ribosomal RNA", at positions 524 to 776 of the family's 1533-position model. The record is from RNAcentral.
UACGGGGGGGGCAAGCGUUGUUCGGAAUUACUGGGCGUAAAGGGCUCGUAGGUGGCCAACUAAGUCAGACGUGAAAUCCCUGGGCUCAACCCAGGAACUGCGUCCAAGACUGGGAGGCUUGAAUCCGGGAGAGGGAUGCGGAAUUCCAGGUGUAGCGGUGAAAUGCGUAGAUAUCUGGAGGAACACCGGUGGCGAAGGCGGCAUCCUGGACCGGUAUUGACACUGAGGCGCGAAAGCCAGGGGAGCAAACGGG